This 235-nucleotide ribosomal RNA is filed under the name uncultured Staphylococcus sp. RNAcentral describes it as "partial 16S ribosomal RNA". It matches the Rfam family "Bacterial small subunit ribosomal RNA", at positions 104 to 334 of the family's 1533-position model. Lineage: Bacteria; Bacillati; Bacillota; Bacilli; Caryophanales; Staphylococcaceae. The record is from RNAcentral.
GGGUGAGUAACACGUGGAUAACCUACCUAUAAGACUGGGAUAACUUCGGGAAACCGGAGCUAAUACCGGAUAAUAUAUUGAACCGCAUGGUUCAAUAGUGAAAGACGGUUUUGCUGUCACUUAUAGAUGGAUCCGCGCCGCAUUAGCUAGUUGGUAAGGUAACGGCUUACCAAGGCAACGAUGCGUAGCCGACCUGAGAGGGUGAUCGGCCACACUGAACUGAGACACGGUCCAG